GUAAAUAUAGUUUAACAAAAACAUUAGAUUGUGAAUCUAAUGAUAGAAGUGUAAACCUUCUUAUUUACC
RNAcentral lists this transfer RNA (69 nucleotides) under Lynx rufus (bobcat). RNAcentral's name for it is "tRNA-His". It matches the Rfam family "tRNA". Rfam says of the family: Transfer RNA (tRNA) molecules are approximately 80 nucleotides in length. The record is from RNAcentral. Lineage: Eukaryota; Metazoa; Chordata; Mammalia; Carnivora; Felidae.